RNAcentral lists this long non-coding RNA (1102 nucleotides) under Callithrix jacchus (white-tufted-ear marmoset). Its description in RNAcentral is "lncRNA (ENSCJAG00000085125.1)". The record is from RNAcentral. Lineage: Eukaryota; Metazoa; Chordata; Mammalia; Primates; Cebidae.
UGCUUUGACCAGUGGAAGAUAAGACACAAAUUGUAUGUCUAGCUUCGUUUACUGAAGAAUCUAAAUGCUCUUUUGAAAAAAGUAGGCACUGAAAUGCUUUGAAAAUAUGUUUUCAAAAUAAGUAUUGCAUGCACAAAAGUGUCACAAUACUGAGGACCUGGUAUGGUGCUAAGAAAGGGAAUACACAUCUAAUGCUCCAAACGUCUCAUCAAUUCACAAAAGCUUAUGACGGAGUAUCUCUCUGUCGCCUAGGCUGAAGUGCAGUGGCGUGAUCUCUCUGCUCACUGCAACCUCCACCUCCUGGGUUCAAGCAAUUCUCCUGCCUCAGCCUCCUGAGUAGCUGGGACUACAGGUGCACACCACCAUGCCUGGAUUUGUUAGUAGAGACGGGGUUUCACCAUGUCGCCCAGGUUGGUUUUAAACUCCUGAGCUCAGGCAAUCCAGCCUCCUUGGCCUCCCAAAGUGCUGGGAUUAUGCGUGAGCCACUGCUCCCGGCCCUAAAGGGUAAUCUCUAAAGAUGUAGGCUCCUAAGAAUAAUUGUGUCAGUGGGUCUCCUGUGUCACAGGAGUAGGAAUCUGGAGGGCAUGUGAAAGAUCUUGAGAAUUGCUUGUGGUAGAAUUGCUGUAAGGUCAGCAUAGCAUCUUUAAACACAUCCACCAUUCUCUUUUAUCCGGUUUCUGCUUUCUUUUUCCUUGCAAAUUUAAUUAACAUUCAUGGGCAACAAUAUUAAUUUGAUCCAACUAAGGUCCUUUUUUAAUCAUUUAAUGAUCACAACAUGAAAUCACACACAUUAAGAGGAUAGAAGAUAUAAAUCAACCCGAAUUAGGAAAAAAUUUGUAAUUUAACCAGGUAACAUUUCCAAGGAUGUAAACAAAUAUAUUAUAGAUAAUGAGAUGAAGGAAUUAGUAUGAAAUUGGAUUUAAAACCUUAAUUUAAACAAAGUAUGUUCUCUAGUUUAUACCCAAUCAAUACACAUGGCAUAUGAAAUUUCAUAAAAUAUGAUACAGUACAUUGCUUCUUCUAUACACCAUUCACUAUUUUUAUAAGCACAGAAUACUAUUGGAUGUUAAAUAUAAUUAAACAGAGCAAAAUAAUAUAAAUU